GUCAGGCUGCAACUCGCCUGCAUGAAGUUGGAAUUGCUAGUAAUCGCGAAUCAGAAUGUCGCGGUGAAUACGUUCCCGGGCCUUGUACACACCGCCCGUCACACCAUGAGAGUCGAUAACACCCGAAGCCUGUGAGCUAACCGCAAGGAGGCAGCAGUCGAAGGUGGGGUUGAUGAUUGGGGUGAAGUCGUAACAAGGUAAC
This 202-nucleotide ribosomal RNA is filed under the name uncultured bacterium. Its description in RNAcentral is "partial 16S ribosomal RNA". It matches the Rfam family "Bacterial small subunit ribosomal RNA", at positions 1300 to 1500 of the family's 1533-position model. The record is from RNAcentral.